UACGAAGGGGGCUAGCGUUGCUCGGAAUGACUGGGCGUAAAGGGCGCGUAGGCGGAAUGCUUUGUCGGGCGUGAAAUUCCAGGGCUCAACCUUGGGGCUGCGUUCGAGACGGGUAUUCUUGAGUUCGGGAGAGGGAUGCGGAAUUCCAGGUGUAGCGGUGAAAUGCGUAGAUAUCUGGAGGAACACCGGUGGCGAAGGCGGCAUCCUGGACCGACACUGACGCUGAGGAGCGAAAGCCAGGGGAGCAAACGGG
Molecule: ribosomal RNA, 253 nt
Filed under: uncultured bacterium
Lineage: Bacteria
Description: partial 16S ribosomal RNA
Rfam family: Bacterial small subunit ribosomal RNA
Source: RNAcentral